CAGCCGUAAACGAUGCGCGUUAGGUGUAUCGACGACCACGAGUCGUCGAGGUGCCGAAGGGAAACCGUGAAACGUGCCGCCUGGGAAGUACGGUCGCAAGGCUGAAACUUAAAGGAAUUGGCGGGGGAGCACCACAACAGGUGGAGCCUGCGGUUUAAUUGGAUUCAACACCGUAAACUCACCAGGGAAGACUGUUACAUGAAAGCCGAGAUGAAGACUCUGCUAGAUUUUCAGAGAGGUGGUGCAUGGCGUCAGUGACU
Molecule: ribosomal RNA, 260 nt
Filed under: uncultured archaeon
Lineage: Archaea
Description: partial 16S ribosomal RNA
Rfam family: Archaeal small subunit ribosomal RNA
Source: RNAcentral